Non-coding RNA from Xyrichtys novacula (pearly razorfish), 21471 nucleotides. NCBI's taxonomy places the organism in Eukaryota, Metazoa, Chordata, Actinopteri, Labriformes, Labridae. The record is from the annotation of a GenBank genome assembly.
CCCACACACACCAGUGUAAACAAACAUGGCAUUUGCAAAAGAAGGUGAUAAUUACGUGGCUUAACGGGGCGAGAACAACAUACGAUAUGUACGCUCCCAUCGCUCACGUUAAAGAGCCAGUUCGUUCAUUUGAACUGUUUCGUUCGCGGCCAACACAUCGUUACAGCAAAGAAAGGGAGAUACUGCUUUGUCCACAGAGGGCGCCAAAAUCAACAGACACCAAAAGUUUGUGUUGAGAAGCUGUAGCCUCUUUACUUCCAGAGUGAAAAAGAAAUUCUCAUUUUGGAUGUUAUGCGAUCUUUUUUCUAGGAAAUUAUCAAAAGUGAAGAAAUUAGAGAUUACAUCAUGUUACAAUAUCAUGAGGCCUCUGAUCUGAGGUGCUGUGUGUUUCAGUUGUUGCUUUAAAUACUUCUGAGUUUCCUUCUUAUUGGAAAAGAAAACAGAGAAAGAGUCUCUAAACUUUAAAAUAAAGUCAGCGAAAAAUAAAUGAUUUGUGCAGCAACAGCCUGACUAAAACAUUACAGCGUUGCCAGGACUAAAAUUGUUUUUCUAACAAAGUACCUCAACAAGUCAUAAAACAAUAAAAAGUAUGGUAUAUGUAACCAUAGAUAAAGAUGUUAAAUCAAGAUAUUUGUCAUUCUGAAAGAGCUGAAACAUAUUGUUCCUUUUUGUAUGCUGAAAAUCGCGUCUUCAGGGAUGAUAAGUCGCUCUCGCUCUGUAACCGUCUCUCUGAAGAAGUUCAAAGUAAUCAGCUGAAAUUCUUAACAUGAGCAGCUCUAAUGUUUGGACGCUUGUCACAGUCACAACUCAUUUCUGUCACACUCACCUCAUGGAGGGAAGAUAGGAGCCGAGCGAUUUUUCAUUGUGAACUCUGUGAACUGCAUCCUCGCUGCGAUUCAGGAGGUCGGGCUCACACAGGGGGAAAAAAACACAAAAAAACUGUGCAGAUAGACGAGGGAGAAGUGUGUUUGGAUACUCUGCAGCAGCUUGACGGCUGUGCAUGAUUUAAUCAAGGUAACCACAAUGGAUCAUUUUGCAUAAUGGCGCAUCACUUUUCAAAUUAGAGGCUGCAGAUGGAACUCACAUAUGUGUCCUGCUGCCUUCAGGGACAGGUGAGGGCUUCAUAGUUGACAAACAGAGAGAUUCAGAUACAAACACACAUUAACCUUUUCCACUUGAAAUGAUCUAAUCGUCGGUACUUAUUUUACAGGUUACAGGUCUUUUUUUAGGAAACAUGAUAGUAACAAUAAUAUUUGCAGUGCUGGUGGUUUGGAUGGGGUUUGGGUGGUGUGGUGCACAACCAGUGGGCAGUUUUCUUUUUCAAAUGCACCAUAUAGGAAAUAAAGAAACUGUACUAAACACAAACUCAUGUCAUCAAACCAUCUGGGAAAGUUAUCCAACAUGGAAGGUCUGGGCGAUAAACUGAAAAUUUACCGAUACUGAAAUUUACGACAAUAACCAACGUCAUUUUGCCCAUAUCGAUAUAUUUGGUGUCAAAAAAACAAAUAAGUAAAAGUUGGUGGAGAGGUGAGGAGAUGGAGGACGGUUCAAAAGUUGUAGCGGCUGAAGUAGACAAAGGUAAUGUGGGAGGGGGUGAGCAGCUUGUGGAGUAGUUAUCAUCCAUUUAUCGUUAUCGAGGUGAACAGCUUAAUAUGUGGUGAUAUUGAUUUGAGGUCAUGUCACCCAGCCCUACAACAUGGCAUUGUGGAUUUUAAGGCACUGUGUGGACUCUUUAAAAAGCACUUGCCUUAUAGUAUCCAGUCCCUUAACUGUGAUUAGAAAAUUUAUGAAUUAUAGGACAUACUGUAAGACAUGAUAGUGCAAGAGAGUGUUGAUAUAAGAGCGUAAAAUAUGAGUAAGAAAAGGGAGCAUUGGAAAAGGAAUGAUGUAUUGAAUGAAAAAAGGCCUUUUCUUACACUCAGGAUCACAGCACAGGCUUCUUGGCUAUAUUCCAACCAACACGGUCAGCAUUUUUCACUCAGCUCUCAGGUUGUGUACAUACUAAACAAACUUGCGCCCACAUUUGUGCCUGUGGACAUGUUGAUUUUUAAAAAUAAAUAGCAAAUCAGCACUUGAAUGCUUAUGCUGCUGAAUGUUAUCUGCUCCUUUAUUUUUGGUGACUUGUUUAUUUUAUUUUUUGACUAUUUUUAAGUGAUUUUAGUGUCGUUGAUUUUAAGCGAGUUUGUUCUAGAUUUUUUUAUAUGUAUUUUUUUGUCUUUUCUGUUGCACAGCUACAGGCUAGAGGAACAACUUAUCAUCUUUUCUAUGUAUGCAGAUACAUGCAGAAUAUGAGGAAUAAAAUAAAUAUUGGACCCUGAAAUCUUAAGAUAUGAUCAGACACAGCUGCGUGCUGCUAUUCUUGACAGGAAAAUAGAGAAAGUAGGAAACUUGGAAGAGAUUGGGAGAAAUGGCAAAUGCAGCUAAGGGUCUCAGAAUGGAAUUAAAAUCUAACAAAUCAAAAUCUGCCCGGCCCCUGUAUGUGAGGCGUGUGUUUUAACCACUGAGCCUGAACUGAGCAAUUAUUAUUUCUAUCCUGCUAUUAAGAGGGUGCAUUUGUGGGAUGGUUACAAGUUCACAACAUGAAUUCAGCAGUGCCCUUUACCACAGAGAAAUAACAGUGGCACUGAUAAAGUAGAAAACAUUUUAUAAUUGGAGGAUUGUUUGGUUUUACCUCUCUUAGGGGAAUAUGAUUGUGGCCAGAACUGAGAUCAUGGUUAUUAAUUAGGAAUGUGUUUAUUGUGCUGGUUUACCCAGAGGUUCAAGUUCAGACCUCAUGCUCCAGCUAAAGUCAUCAUAGGGACAGUUGCUAAUUCAGUGUCUAAUAAAGGCAAAAAUAUCAUCACCACACAAUCAAACAAAUGCGUGUAUAUUGUGUGUAUAUAUAUAUAUAUAUAUAUAUAUAUAUAUAUAUAUAUAUAUUAUAUAUAUUAUAUUAUAUAUUUUUCAAAUUUUAUUUAUUUUUUUUUUAAUAAAAUAAAUAAUAUUUUUUUUGGGGGGGGGUAUAUUGUAACUUUUUAAUUUUUGUUUGGCAUAUAAAUUUUGCUUCUGCUGAUUUAGUCCUUAAGAAGUGUUCAUGAAUGUAUUUUCAUUAUAAUGUCUAUUUAAUGAAUAAGUUCUUCCUUUUAAAUAUAAUAAAGAAUUAAUAAAGGAGAAGAAAAAACAAAACAAAAACAAAGUUAAAUCCCUCCCCUGUUGCUGAAUCUGGAUUGUUUAUACAACACUUGAUCAUACUGUAGCGUGGUUCCCUGCGCUCACUUUGUACCUCUACUUUACUAACACACAUCUGAUGGUUCUGCUCCCUAUCUGCUUUGCUGCAGAGGUUUUUUUCUGCACUCUCAGUUUUGGAUGUGCUGAAGAUACUCUGCGAGGACGUCCUCACCUCUACACCCUCACACUGUGUGGGGUUUUCAGCUCCGGACCCACACACUGGGCUGUAUUGGGCUAAUUCAGUUACAGAGCAGAAAGGGUCUGCAGUUCAGAACAGAGUGAACAGAGCGCAGGUGAUUUUGUUGACACUGUAAUCGAGGUGUUAAUUAAAUCGAGCAGUUGUAUUGAAUGGACUGUACACGUGUACUCGAUAAAGUGGCCUCUCUAAAUGUUGUUCGUCAGUAUUUUAAAGUGAAAACUUUCAUUUUAAUCUGCCUCUAUUGAUGAAUCACACAACUGUGAGGGAUUCGUCCUCCUUUCUGUGUCCAUUCAUCAGAUGCGCCUUGCUUCAAAAUGCCAUCAUUAAUCUUACGUUAUUGCUCGCAUUUGUUUUGUGUUUAAAUCUAAAAUAAUUCACAUUUCAAGGUCUGGAAAACAGGAGGAAAACUGAUGCUACAUGUGCUUUUCAUUCCUCCCAAAUCUCAUUCUUCACUUUCUGAGGGACUUUUAAUUUGCUUGUUUUUUUCUGCUUGAUUUAUUAUUGUAUAUCUGCCUCUUUCUCCUCUAAACUUCAUAUUUUUCUCCAUCUUUCCCCUCUCUCUGACUCACUUUUCUUCACCCUCAACAUUUCUCUUUUUUGCCUUCCUCUUUCCCGGUGUUAUCCACUCGCCUCCCCUGAUGCAGCAAAAUUAAUUAGAGCUCAUCCCAUUAACUCAGACUCGGCCUGUGCAGGAACAGGCGGAGAGGUGUGUGUGUGUGUGUGUAAGAGUGUGUGGAUGUGUGUGUGUGAGCUCAGCGAGAGAUGCUGUAAGGACGCAAUGUACCCACCUGAGCUCAACUCCUUCCCUCCCUUGGGGACCUCGAGCCCACAGGGACAAACGGUGGGAGAGAUUAGUAAUAUGAUGAGAAGAGGGGGAAACAAGGAAGGAGGGAGGAUUGGAGGAAAGAUGGAGGAAAUAUGAAAAAUGUGGGUAUGAAAAUCAGGUUGUUAUUAAGGAUGAACAUAAGGACAACAGGUGGGUUGUUAUCUUGAUUAUGCAACUGAUGCAAAGAGGAUUAUUAGACAGACUUAAGCUAUGGUUGUGUUUUAUUAGCUUUGAUUGACAGGCGGCUUCUUGGAAGUGGAGUGAGAAACACGACUGCAGGGGAGAAGAAACUUGUAAUGGAGGUUAGAGGACAAAAUGACAGAAGAGGACAGUUGAGAAAAAGGCAAUUGAUGGAAAAAGAGAAAAACAGGAGAGAGAAAAUUAAGUAAUUAGAGAAGAAACAAGAGUAGGUGGAGAAAAGAGGGAUACACAAAUAGAAAGGGAGGUAUACAGAGGAUUGGAUCAGCACUUUUGGAAACUAUAAGGGAAAGAAGUUCGCUUGAUGUCACUUUGUGAAUCUUUAAGAGUGACCCCAUCACUGGAGUAACUUUAGGCUGUGCAGAAAGUUCAGUCCACCCGAGCCCACGCUUUCAAGAGGGCUCAUGAUGGACGUCAGCAUCCGUCAUUGUUGUGAUGGGGUCGAGUGAGAAGCAGCGGAUUGAUUAGUGACUUCAAGUUUCAAACUCCAGAAUAAAAGUUUUUAUACUAUGCUUUUAGCCAGAACAUCGACAGUUUUAGAUCAGUUUUAGGACCUUUUAUUCUUCAGUGUUAUGAAACUACAUAUUUAGCUUAAUGAGCAUACUCUGUAAUGCUCAAAGGUAUUCAUUCUGCAUUUCCCGUUUUCACCACCAGGUGCAGUAUACUCUUCUAGGGCAGUGGCGAUUAUUACAAUAUUUCAUCCAUUCAUCCAUUUUUUACCGCUUAUCCACGUUGGGGGUCGUGGGGGGUCUGGAGCCUAUCCCAGCAUCUUCAGGCGAAGGCAGGGGGCACCCUGGACAAGUCACCAGUUCAUCGCAGGGCUGACAUAUAGAGACAAACAACCAUCCACGCUCACAUUCACACCUACAGGUAAUUUGAAAGCGGCCAAUUAACCUAACUUCACUUAAGGUCCUUUCACACCGGGACCAUUUUUAUCGUGCGAUUAUUUCGGACAUCAACAUUUUUUUUCCAACCCGUAUCCUGUCAAUACAAGCGUUCACAUCAGCGACGUUUUCCCGUUCAACGAUAUUGUGGCAUUUAUUUUUGAGGCGUCACCGUCAAUUAUUGAUUUUAUCCACAAAGUUGCAUCAAAUAACCCUGAAUCCGAAUCUGACGUCAUAGUGCAGCCACGCGUUGUUUACCUCUCGUCUUGGUCGGCCGGGCAGCGACUCAAGGUUAGGAUGGAGGAUGAGGAGGUUCUGGUUCCAAAGCCAUGUACCACGGCACUGCUGUGGGUGCAUUUCAGAUUUAAGCGGAACGAUAAAGGAGAGCCUGGUAAUGUGGAGGAAGUGAUAUGUAAACUUUGCCAUAAAAAGUUCCAAUCAAGAGCGCUAACACAACAACUCUGAAACAGCAUCUGAGAUGUCAAUUCAGAAGGGAAAAAAUGGACAAUAUAUAUAAACGUCCAUCAUAAUUAUUUGCCUGACAAAUAAUCGUCUCCAGAAAUUUCUAAUCGUGACAACCGUAUUCUCUUCCAUGCAGUAGCUGGCCUCAGAUAAGGUCAGACGACAAUACAGGCUGAUAACCAUCAAAUUGAAACAAAACAUGGAGGAUACUGAUCAUCAAAGGACAGUAAAAGAGAAAAGAAAGGACAACUUAAUUAAAUGAAGUGGAGAAAAAUAAUCAAGUGACCCGCGCAGAGAGUGAAUUAGUCCGGCGCUCCUCUUAUAGGUUCUAAUUUGUUUGCUUAAAGAGAGGACAGAGGGAAGUGGUUUAGGAGAGAUGAGCAUCGGGCUGCGUAAUGAGAACAACACAUCAUCAUCAGCUCACCUCACAUCACUUCCCCCUAGCCACCUGAGGACACGACACACACUCACACACUCUUGAAAACGCCAUCUGUUCAUCUGCCUGAUGUCAACACUUUGCUCUGGGUCUAGCUCCACCUCCUCCCGGCACACUCGUACUCGCCCAAACACACAUCCAGCUAACCGUUAGUUUCAGUGUGAACUCUAACCCGGCUCAUUGACAGUUGGUGUUUGUCUGUCACGGGUGGAGGAGGCUGCUUACCCUUUUGCAAUAUUGAUCGCUGACAAAAUCUGGAGGGAAAUGUAGUUCACCUGACGACUCAUAAUGCUCUGAUAUGAGUUUUCUAACUUUCGUUCAUGACUAUCAAAUCAGUCAGUGGUCCAAAAAAUCUAUUUGCUCAUAAAAACACGAUCUAAUAAAAACUGACAGUGUUAAAGAUCCACCAAAGGCAAACUAAAAUGUGUUAUUUGUCUUUGUCUAAGGCUUCAUCUUUAUUAGUUAAACAGAAAACGUUCUGUUUGGUAUAAUGUUGAUUUAAGAGGGAGUAUCGCUAGUGGACUGUCAUAUCAAAUAAAUCCAAGGAAUAAAGACCGGUAUGUUUAUAGAGUUUAUAAUUUCACCUCUUCCUCUUCAUAAUAGGAAAAAAUCUGAGGUUUUAACUAGGGAUGCAUGGAUCCGAUAUCUGGAUCGGACAGCGGCUCCGACAUUAACAAAUUAAUUGGAUUGGAUAUCUGAUGAUUGAUGCCAAUCCAGCAUUCUGAUUCAGACUUUUUUUUCUUUUAAUUAUUUUUUCUUUAAAUACAUGGAAGUUUAGGAGCUACGCUGUUACAUUCACGUUACGUUACCCGCGCUACUCGCUAUACAGACCGUGUGUAAGCCUAAACAUUACCCUUCACCUUAAUGGAAGAGGGUCCGACAGGAUUUGAUGCUCUCGUUGAUGACUCAAAAAAAGUUGAAAAUAACGUCCUGUGUUGUUGUGCUCAAACAGUGCAUGUAGAAAUCAUUAGUGGCCCAUUGAUAUUAAUGAUCAUGUGAAAUUUCAGUAGCUGCGCACGUAAUUUAUGUAGGGGAAACACUGCUACAUAUGAGUCCGAAGUAGAACUAUGUGAGAUAAAACUAAUUUGUUUUUAGGUGUGGCGACUUUUAUUUAGCCACGAUCAAUCGCAUGUAGAGGAAACCAUGCACUAGCUUAAGAUUCAGCCAGUAUAAAAAAAAAUUAACUUCAUUGUUGAUACGAUACAUCUUCAGGAAACCCUGAACAACGGUGCAAAACUCUCUGGCCAACCCUUAUGUAGAUUCUGACAUUUUACACCAAAUAUGCUGACUCAGAUGUCCUGUAGAUGCAACACAACGAGGUCACUAGAGCACCUAUGUCAGGCAGUUUCAUUCUCAGAGGAACAUGAAUAUAUUUACAAAGGUGUAAAUAUAUUCAUGUUUUAAGGGAACAUCAUGCAGGUCUGGACUACCAUCUAUCUUUCGGAAGCUGCACUGCUCCACCAUGUAGAUGAACUAUGAUGAUAUAUAGAUACUUGGUAAAAGCUAAGGAGACCACUGAAGUCAGCGGGGGUUUAUUCUUGGGGGAUUAUAUCAGCUGACUUAUUUUCGUGUGAACGGUGCACUUUGUGGAUAUUUUAAGUGAACCAACUUAACACAUAUUCAUAUUCUAGAGGGGGGUGUUUCAGCAGGUUACAUGAGGGCACUGUUACGAUUAAUAAUUAACGUUUAAAGUUAAACCGGAGCCUGAAUUAUUGAGUUUAACAUGAAGGUUUUAAUCACUUGCCUUCUGUGCGUGUUCAGUGUGUGUUUAUGUGUGUUUGCAUGUAGUGUAUAGCCUGACUUCAAGGACACAGAGCUGGGUGAUCCUAUUGACAGUCUGAGGGAGAGGAAGACACAGAGAAGGGAGAUAGAGCAGGGUUAAUGGUUGAUUCAUCUUGUCUUUGAAGUGCUCUUCAUUCCCUUCAUAUGAAGAAUCUCCUCUCAGAUGAAAGUGGAGUCGAGCUUGAGAGGAAAGUGGAAAAGUGGAGUUGAGAGGCGGUGGAGGUUUUUGAUGGAGACAUCCAAUUGAUAGGGUCAUAGUUCCCCCUCCUCGAUUUCCAUCUGCAGCCUGUCACUCACGCCUUCAUUUCCUGCCCGCCUGUCUACCUGCCUCACCUGUCUGCAGGUCACAUUCCCUACUUUACAAAUUUUAUUCAUUUUAUCAGCGAUGGCAGACUGGACAAAUAAAAACUAAUGAGUUUGUGGGGUUAUUUCCUCUCCAACAUAAACACAUGUCUCUCUCUGCGUGUAACCGUCUUCCUCUCUAACUCUCCGGGAUGACCGGCCCAUCUCAUGAAAAAGCCAAACACCCUCGCGUGCCAAAGAGAAACAUUACACAGCUGCUCCCUGCCACGCUGGCACACAUCAGCCACACUCAGGUUUUAAUUUCUCUGCAUGACACCACAUGCAGCGGAGUGCACUUUGGUUUGUGUGCAUGCAUGAGAGACAGAGAGAAACCGUGUUUGAUUCAAAACCACCAAAAAUAUGCCAACAGGCUACCAGACCUGCAAUGAAAAACACAGAUUUUUGUGUUAAAAAUACAGCUGUGAAAUAAAAAGAAUUUACACACUGAUGUACAGCCUACAUUGUUGUUACUAAACCUCGACAACAUGAAUCCACCAUAGUUAUUAAAUUAUCUUUGAUUUAACAGAAGAAGCAUAAGAUUUAUGCAUCAUUAUGACCCUAUAAAAAGAGAGCAGUGUUAAAUAAUGUUGCCGCCAGACUUGACAACCUCAAUCCCAGCACACUUUGUGGAGCCCAACCAGGACAAUCUGGCUGCAGACCUCCACUGUCAGGAUCCACCUCCACUCAGCAGACUAGAACUAAUAUUUGAAGCCUUUCAAAAUAAAAGCAAAUACACUGGGAUUACUGUAAUUUUUUUAUUUUAUUUUAUUAUUAUUAUUAUUAUUUUUCCGUCAGAGGUUCAAUCAAAGCCUUUCAAAAUAAAAGAAAAUAUAUCAGAAGUUUUUUUUUUACGCCAGGAGUUGAUUUGAAGCCUUUCAAAAUAAAAGCAAAUAUAUUGGGACUAAUGUUUUUUUUCCCCAUCGGAAGUGGAUUCCUAGCCUUUCAAAAUAAAAGUAAAAAUACCGGGAGUAUUUUUAUUUUUCUACAUCGGGAGUUGAUUUGAAACCUUUCAAAGUAAAAGCAAAAAUACUGGGAGUACAUUUUUCUUCAUCAGAGGUUGAUUUAAAACCUUUUAAAGUAAAAGCAAACAUACCAGGAGUACCUUUUUUAACUUUGAAGGAUGAUUUAAAGCCUUUCAAAAAGCCUUUUUUUAAAUUUUUUUUUUAAAUGUUUUUUAUUUCUCUGGGCUUUAUUUUAUGUAUAUAAUAUUAAUAGGACUCUUUUGUAUGUCUUUAUGUGUUCAACAUAGACAAAAUACAAAACGGGAUGACCCAUUCAAACAAACUGGAGCGUGUGAGAAGAAACAUCACCUCAGGUCCUCACGGUGGAGGUCUGCAACUAGACCCUUGUCAGCUCAACAGCUGCUUGCUUCUUUGUGCGCCAUCUUCUGUGUAAAAUCCGUAACACAACUGAAUGCCCACACCUAAUUUUAUGGUGUACAUAGUGCUUAUUAUUUGCUUAUAAUCUGAUCCCUCCACGUUGAUGAAUAGUGCUCCAUUCAUCUGAUUCCAAAUGGAGAGUUUAAGGGCAAGCCUUAUUUCUGUAUUCAUUAUUGGUGCGUAACGAACUUGAAUAUAUUUAUAUUAUUAUAUUUAUAUUAUUUAUAUUUAUGUAUUUAAGUUCAAGGUUUUGGAGUCCUGUAGCUUUCAGGGAGUAAAAAGUUUCACCACAUCUGCGUGGGGAUUGAUUGUUUUUAGGAUGAGAAAGUUUUGUUCUUGCUGAAGUUGGAGAGUUUGUCGAGGAAUUGGCAAUCUUAGGACAAAAAAAAAAAAUCUAUCAAAUUUUGUUUUGGCUCUUUGUGGAUUCAUGAGAAACGAGGCAGGUGUAGUUGGUUUAUCAUUAAUACACUAUGUGCAGAAACAAUUAACCGGCAGACGGACACAAAAACGCGCGCUCGCAUAGCAGCUGUUACUCCAGUUCUUUAGUGUAAUUGUGCGAUGAUGUGUGUGAGGUAAACUGUAAGUAUUUUGACUCUGAUUUGCAUAACAUAGCCGCUGUGUGUGUGUGUGUGUGACAGCGCUGGAUUGGGAUUGUGUCUUUCAGAAUGAUGAUAAAUCUGCUAUGAAAAAAAGAAAGGAUAAAAAGUGAGAAUAAGAUGAGAAAGGAUGAGAAAAUGUAGAGAAAGAAGGUUUGAGAAGAAAGAGGAGAAAAAAAUCAAUCAGGAUGUAACCAAAAAAAGAGAGAGAGAGGCUAAAAAGAGCCAAAAAAGAAGAGCAGAAGAGAAACAGAAGUGCCAGACAGGAGAAGGAGGGAUGGAUGCAUCACAAUAAACAAACAGAGGUGGAAGUGAAGGGAACAGAGGCCCCGAGAGGAGAAAGGAGGGAUAGUGAAGGAGAAGAAACAGGCAAGAGGGAGAGAUAGCGAGCUCCCACUGCAGGUAAACACUGAGCAGGAGAGGACGGGAGGAGAGGAGAUAGUAAAGCUUCUCCAGCAGGACUAAAAAGUUAUAAUGAGAGAGUAGAGGAGGAGUUGAGGGACGGAGAGAAUAUGAGAAGAUAACAUCUUUCUCUUUCUGUCUGGUUGGUUCAGAUGCUGACUGUUAUCUCCUUAAGGACCCAAACUCAGGCGUCUUGGAGUAAGCAUAUUAAUGAGAGAUGAUGUAGGAAAGGACAGAAGGACUGAGUGAAUGAGAGAAAGAUGAACUGCACCCCUUUUGUCUCACUCUCCCGGUGUCACUUGCUCUUUUUCCUCCUCUGCUCCCUCACAUUUGGUGGGUGGUGGCUGGUGGGCGGCGUACAUGGACAGAGGAGUGGGUUGGCAGCCCUGUGGCGCUGACAGCUCCUGAUAGAGCUGUUCUAAUGGGAGCAGAUGAUGAUUGACGGCCGAGCGGCGAGCUGACAGCACAUAAAGGUCACAUUAGCUCCCACUGCGAUAAAUAGAGGAAAAGAUGGAAAGAGGCAGAGAAGGAGAGAGUGAGAAGAGGCAGGUGGAUGAGCGUAAAAAAUCGGAGGAGAGACAGACAGACAGGCAGAUGCACAGAUGAGAUACUAUUAGAAAGGAUGUGAAAAUAAAAUCUCACCAAACAGAGAGGGGAAGAAAACAUGAUGCUAAUGAAUAAAAACCCAGGCAAUAGAAAUGUCCAAAAUAAAAACGAGACAAAUUAUUGAACGAAGUAAAGAAGGAUAAAGACUGGUCUGGUGUGGGUGGUUGGAUGGGUCGGAUUAGUAUUGGAUCAAUACUCUCCCUCUGCUAUGUAAGGGAUCAUAGUCAGCUGGCGGUAAUAUCAAAUGCAGUCCUAACUGGGUGUGAAAAGUCCCCAAGUCUGCAUCUAUUUUAGGUUAUCUGUUUUCUUCAGUUUGUUUGAUGUCUCAGGUCCUUGUGUGUUUUAACAUCGCUUGUAAAUUUCUGUAAUGUUUGAAGCUUCUUGUCUGUAUGUAUUAACCACUGACCAAAAGCUUUAUGCUCUUAAAGAAUAGCCUGAGAGUCAUAUUAAAAAGCUUGACUUCAUGUUGUUUACCAGUGCCAUCAUCGGAAAGUAAUGUUUUUGCCACAUAGUCAACAGGAAGAUGGGAAUCACUAACAGAGUAAUAGAUGUGCUGUUCAGGGGUCAUGGCCAAUAAGAUCAAACAAUAACCACAGCCAGAUAGUUUGAGUGUGUUUAAUUGUUGAGUCUGCACUUCUGUUGGUAUUCAAGGUAAACAUGGCUGGUGUUAAGUCUGUAUAAAAGUUGACUCUUCAGACAUACGCACCCACAGUCUACCUUGGCUAGCUUCUUUUUUUUUUAUUACUCACCGCUCUCUUAUUAAUAACACCUCUUCUCAGGACCGUGGGUGUGGAUUAACUAAGCUUGAGUGACAUCUCCAUCAGACUAGAUUUUCUGCCCAUGAUAAAGUGAGAACCACUCAUGCUAAGUGGGCUGAUGGAUGUGUUGGGUAAGUGUGUAUCAACUUCCUCAGAUGCUGAAAAAAACCGAAAAAAAAUCCUUUACUCGAGGUGAAGCAAUUCUCAUUUUAUAAAAAACAUAUCAAAUAUGGGUGAUGUGGUUAAUAUGUAGGUGGUUUUAUUGGUAUGUGCUUCUUUGAAAUGGAUAAUUGUUGAUUUUUAUUUAGUUUAUUAAUACUACUUUAAAGAAAGCUAAAUGUUCCUCUAAGUGGACAGCUGUGGCUCAGUGGUAGAGUUGGUCAUUUCUAAAUUGAGGAUAGAAAUUCGAUCAAAGCUCUUACAGUUAUACCCCAGAUUGUUCGUUGUGAUACAGUUAGCAGUGUAUGAAUGUCACGCUACUAGAAGUGACAGUACUUAGCCUGAUGUUACCAGAUGUGCCGCUACUAGUCAUGAUGCUACUAGUCGUGAUGCUAAUAGAUGUAACGCUACCAGAGUUGAAGCUACUUGAUGGUAAUGUUACUGUAUGUGACACUGCUAGACGUGACGCUACCAGAAGUGAUGGUACUUAGCCUGGUGCUACUAAAUGUGAUGCUAAUAUAGAUGGCACUACUAGACGUGAUGCUACUUGACGUGGCGCCACUAUACAUGGCGCUACUAGACAUGAUGCUACUAGAAGUGAUGCUAUUGGAAGUGGCACUACUAGACGUGAUGCUACUAUACAUGGCGCUGCUAGAUGUGGUGCUACUAGAUGUGGUGCUACUAGACGUGGUGCUACUAGAUGUGGUGCUAAUUGAUGUCACUCUGCUUGGUGUCACCCUACUUGACGUCAGGCUACUUGAUGACGUGGCACGACUAGACGUGGCGCUACUGUACCUAGCGCUACUAUACCUGACGCUACUUGACAGGAUGCUACUAGACGUUUGGUGAUAUAAAACAGUAAAUGGUUUCAAGACCGGAGAUCUUUUACUUUGGUAAUAUUUUCAGCUUUACUUGAGAUAAAUAUUGAUAACUACAAAAUUGAUUAGAAUUUGAGAGUUGUAAGGAAAUGUGAGCUCUAACUUAAAUCGAGUCAAUUUUGAUACAUCUUUGCACCAAAUUGUAACAUGCACAAGGGUAGAUAGCACUGGUAUUGCAAAGGUGACUUUAGUUUUUCAUCUCGUCGUUUGCUGUGUGUUUUUACUCGCUGUUCAAAUAGAUCCUGGUUUUCACACUGUUAAAUUGCUUGUUAUAGAGCAUAUUCUCUUUUAAAAGUCGUCCUGUCCCCUGCUCUUGAAGUUCCUUUUGACUGAAAUUCCUCCUUUGUGACUAAACUGCAGUCACUUUCUAACUUGCUGCUUUAAAAAUGACCGAUUGAAGUGUCAUUUUCUAGAUGUUUGCAGCCAACAUGACACUAGAAUUAAGGUUUUGGAGGUUUAUCAAAGGACGUGACGUCAAAGAAAAUCCCCUUCCCCAUGCUUUCUCGCCUUUGAUACCAACCUUUGUCUAUUCUUUUGCGACCUUGACCUGUUCUCAAUAACCUCUGAACAAAUCGUUAUUCUAUACCUUCGUCCUCCUCUUCUCAUAAAUUCAUAAAUAUUGCAUACACCAGUUAUUCCUGCCCCGAGCUGUAUUCAGCCAGACUGCCUCCUAUAACACCACCCUGACAUUUCCUGAUGGAUAUGGAGACAGCUAUAGCAGAGCUUACCUCUGCUUCUUCCCCCUCCUGCUGCAUCUCACCUCCUUCCCACAUCCUCCCCUGUGUGCUACGCGAGGACAGAGGGAGACAGAUGAUGUGUGGGUCUCUGAGUGCAUGUGCGUAUCGCUCUGUCUCUCUGCAGGCUGUUUAUACUAGUCUGGAGUUUUCCCCUGAUGCCCGUAUGGCUAGCGUUGUGUCCCACCAGCCAACACAUAAACACACACACAUACAGGGACUCAAGAGACCAAACAUCUCAUUACUGCGAGUAGGAUAUGUGUGUUCAUGGCUGCUUUCGGGGCAGACACAGACAGUAAGUGCACUUGCUGCUGUGCUUGUUUGUAUGUGCGGGAGAGGAAAGAGGCAGAGAGUAGUUGUAUGCAUAUUUGUGUUGGAGUGUCUGUGUGUGAAGGAGUGAGACAAAAAUAUGUGUGAAUGUGUGUGCCUUUCACAGAGAUGGUGCUGUUUGGAUGGUGUAAGUGUGGUUGAGUUAAAAAUGCUGUCAGUAGACAGAUGGUUGUGAAAACUGCAGCUUCAUUUUAGAACAAAGGAGGAGAUGAACUCACCUAAGGUUAGGAAAUGUGUGUGUUAGUGUAGUGUGUUUGUGUGUAUGUAAUGGUAUGUGUCCUUCCUGCCUUUAAAUCAUAAUGAGAAUGAAGAAACCUUUAAACACGUUAAGGCGAAGGACAAACUGUGACUUAAAGUGGGGGUUAAAGGAAAGUUCCCACUGAUCAUGACUGUGGGCUCAUUGCGUAGACUUCAGUGAGGUGUGAAAGCAUUUGUUACAUGGAGGCAGGUUUUAAACUAACUUGGCGAACAAGCACUUCUAAGGUAAUGGAAAUAAUCCCUCAUUGCACAGAGAAACUGCAGACAUUAUAGCACUACUGUACAGCGCAGCACUGUUAAGAGUACAGAAGGUUUCUGAACAGGAGGAAAAGUUGAACAGUUCCAGCUCUAUUUUUGUUUGAAACUCUGUAAAGAUUUGAAUUAUUAUUAUUACUUUCAUAAAAGAAGAACAAUAUGGAAUCUAAAAAGAAAGUUUAAUUUAAAAAUGAGGGUGUCGGCUGGUUUGCAAACUGGACAAAUUUGCCCUCUAUCAUCGAACAAGUAGUUUGAAGCCAGCACCUUGGUUAUGAGCGUAAUAAGUCACAUUUUUCUUAGAUUUCCGUGGAAUUACAAGGAUAAAAUGGCUGGACAGGUGAUAUUUAAAAAGAAGGUUGAGAACAGAUGUCAGAUUAUCCUGGACUAGUACUCUAAUAACUGUUAGCUUUGAUAGCUUGGUAGUUGGUCAGGCAGCAUUAGUUUGCUUGCUGGGAGAAAGCAACAACAUCUAAGAGUGUCCAACUCAGAAACUGAGUCACUUAGAGAGGAAAACUUUGCAUAAGUCUGUCUUGACACAACCUGUGAUGCAAUACCAGUAUUCGCAGGAGCUUUACCAGAUUUGAGACGUACCACCAGUCUUAAGAUGAUAAGGUCUGUGGUUACGACUUUUGUUACUGAGAUUUACAACCAACUGCAUUAGCUUGUUUAUGUCAUUGCUUUGUGUCAUGGUUUGUUCAUCCAUCUAAGUCUAAAGAUGCCGACUAGUCAGCAUAACCUGAGUGUGGCAGAAGUGUUUGUUAAACUGGGAAGUUAAAGCUCCUGUAAGGAACUUCUGGUUUGUGUCGAUUUUGGUGCCCCCUAUGAUCAAACAAUCUUCGCUUAUCCUGUCCUCAAUAUGCUUAAAUACUGACUUUUGACAAAAACUGUAAUGCUUCUGACUUUUAAUGGACAAAUGACAAUUUGUGUGAAAUUUUUUAGUAAAAAUGGGAAAAUCAGGGCUGUAUUCAGCUGCAAUCUGACACCUACCCCACGCAUUAAAAAUUACAAUAUAAAAUCUUCAAUCUUGUUGCUGACAGUCUUGUUUGCUUUUGGAUUUCAUAAAAAAGCAUCAAUGUGAAUUUCAGUAAAUUCUAUAAACAUCAAAAAACUCCCUAUAGGAGCUUUAAAGACACAAAUUGAAUCCAUACAAGAGUUUCUGUGAGAAUCUCAUCAACUAUUUAAGAAGAAAAAAACAGUUUUGACUUUUUUCAUUCCUUUAAUUUUACCACUACAUCAUUGCUCUUCUGAAAUGACACAUCAAGCUGUGUCAUACAGUGUUGGUUUCUAUCUUAGUUUGUCUGACUUAGACUUAGAUAAUCCAUGAAGAUAGCUGUAUGGACAAAUUUUCUUAUUUCACCACAUGUCAUCAUUCAAAAUCGAACGCACUGGUGUUAAGCUUCCUGUCUACUGUGUUGGAUUUAUUUCUAAGUUUAUUACAGUACAAACAUUGUGAAGUAAUUGGAAAAUAACACCUCAUUCCUCAGUUUUACCACUCUGUUUGCCCAUAACAACCAUCACUCCUCUUAUUUAUUAAAGUGCUUUUUAGAUGGCUUCACAUGCUUCUCUCACAGUGAAGUUAGAGACGCCACAAAGUACAGCUGUUAAUCUUUUGAAAUAAGAAAUAUUGUCUUAUUUAUACUGAUUCUCCAAAGGGAGAGAGGGAGAGGAGGAUUUAAUACCAGAUCAGACACAAAACAGUAGAAAUUCCUCUUGAAGGAGAGCACUUCAUCUGCACAUGUGCCCACUAGAUUUAAGUAAUGGCGCAGCUUCUCCUUCGCAGAGCAUUUUUCAUCUUCACGACUUCAUUUCUUAUGAUGAAUGCAUCCCCAUUGUUCCAUACACUAGGUCAUUUUCGCUAAUUUAUAGAGAUAAAAUAGCCCGAUGUAGCAAAUCACAGAUAAUGACGCAAAUGUGGGGAAGGUUGAAUGAAAGAGAGAAGAAGCAAAUAGAUGUUUUAGAGAGGUUUAAAUCUGCCUGUGUGUCCCGUUUUCAAUAUGUGUGAAUGCCCUCCAUCCGUCACCUCACCUUAUUCUUCCUACAUGCCUACCCAUACUCCCUUGCUAAUAUGUGUACAUUAUGUGAAGAGAUUCUAUAUAAGCCACUGGACAUGCAGCUGCAUAGAGAAAUGACUCACAGGAGACUUAGCGUACAGACAAAUCCCAGUCAGCGGUGCACAUGCGGUAUGAGGGGGAUGCGGGGAGCAUGGUGGUGAAAGCAUUAUCAUAAAUAAAAACUGAACAGUGAGAGUCUCUGCCAAAGAUCCUUAAUCUUCCCUCUGUUUGUUUGUGUGGCAUCCAGAGAUAAAACUGUGAGGCAGAAGCUUUUCUCUGCUUGUACAUAGAGGUUUGCUGUUCUUGUGAGAACCGGUCUAGAGUUUGAAACAGUGAUGGUUUAGAAAUUCAGACUCAUUUGUUUUGAUCGUUUCCUCUCUGACAUUCAUACCUCAUUUAGAACAAAGGUUAAAGCUCCUAUGAGGAGUUUCUACUCAUUGAAGAGAGAGACUGAAGUUCACAUUACUACGUUUUCAUGAUAUCUAAAAGCAAAUGAGAAGAUUUACAAACAUUUUAUUGUAAUUUUUAAGGCCUGAAACCAGUGUGCGGGGUCAGUGUCUGUCAGGCAGGUAAAAACAAACGGGCAAAACCCACAGGAUCCAAACAGCUCCGCUCUGCUGUGACACGGCAGGUGGAUCAAAUACCCAAGCAUUAUAAUCAAUGUGUGUGAUUCCACAGAAUCCGUCCGGCAUCCGGCUCCACUGUGGAUCGGCUCCGGCAGCCGGAUCAGAUACGCAAGGCUUCUAUUAUAGCCAGUGCAUCAAUCCAGCGCAGCACAGCACAAGCAGCAGCGGAAGUUGUAUUCGGUUACAGAGUAAAAUAGGGUUGUCGGAUGUGGUUGUUUAUAUACACCGCCAUUUAUAUACACGGAUCGGCAGAUCUCAUUCUAUGACUCCCGGGGAACACGCGAGAGCUCGUCCAGUCUCGCGAGAAAUAUCGGUAAUCUCCCGAGUGCUUCUCCUCCGAUGGUGGCGGUGGAUCAGAUCCGGUGGGCACUGUUUGCUUGCGGAUCUGAUCUACCUGCCGGUGGGGAGUGGAGUGGAGCCAUUCCGGAUCCAGUGGGAUUCCCGGGGAAAGGGUUGUUGAACAAUUUCCAACCCAAAUAUUCAGACCGUAUACUAUAUAUACUGUGGACAACUUGGUUUCACCUUUUGCCAGUGUAAGAAUUUGAAGCCAGAAAGCUCUCUGUAUUUUUGGUUUUUUUCUCCACUUUCUAAAAAAACAACAUUGAGCAGUAGCGUUGUACGCAGUCGGCGGGAGAGUUGCUGUGAUGACGCUCGGCUCAAACAGUGUAUUUCCCUGGUGAGCUACGCAAUCUUCAUACACCCAUAGGCUGUAUCAAGUGUCAAUCAUAGAAAACAUGAAACACCUAAUAACUUUUAAAAAUGGAGCUGAGCGGAGAAAACUUCAUAUUCUGUGUAAUUAAUUUCUAAAGUUUGUCCACAGCUCCAUAGGAAUUGCUGGAGGAGGUGGGAUUUAUGACCUAUACUGCAGCCCGUCACCAGAGGGUGCUGUUCUCAAGUGGCUUCACUCAGCGAGGAGGCAGACGGCAUCCGUUCUAUAUACAGUCUAUGAUUCAGAGUAAAGAGUACAUUUGACUAACCAGCACAUAUGCAUUUUGUGUCAGAUGGUUCUUGGUGAUCUGAAUCAUCUUCUCUUCUUCUAUCUUCUCUCUUUUCUUUUUAUACCUCUGAUCUGAUCUCAAAGGCUUCUUCAUAAAAGGACUGAAAAACUGAAGAAGCUCUUUGGAUUUGAGGUGAAACAUCCUUAAGAACUUCUACCAUGUUCAGCCACCUUUUGAACAACUUUUAAUUACGUGUUAUGUGACUGAAAAGGUGGUCAGCUCUGAGGAGAACUCAACAUGGACUUUCUAUUUCUCAAGAGAACUGAACUCUGGUCACUUAAAGGAAAUUUUGCUUCAUUUUGAACACUGACCUGCAGACCUUUUGCUCCUUUAAACAAAGUCAACUGCAGCAUUUAAUCAAUAAGUUAGAGACGAGCUUUGAAAAUGACUCUAUAGAAGUUUAUUUGGAGUUGUUUGUGAUGUUCUAGACUGCUGUUGUGUCGCCGUAUUCAAUAACAAUAAGCUUAUAUCUAAUCAAGUAUUUCUUAAUAACACUUAAAAGAAUCUGUUGAUGUUUGUGUUUUUAAGAUUCAAACCCGUAGCUAUCAGUGUUUUCGCGGGUCUUCCUCUCUGAGAUGAUAAUAUUAUUCAGAGUUAACACCGCAUUCAAACAGCCUGAGUUAUUGUCCUUUAAGGGAAUAUUCAUGAGGCGGAAAAAGUCUUUAUCCAUCAUUUGAUUUAAGUACUUUUCAGCCGCAACAGAAACCAAACAGCCUGGAGCUCAUUAGAUAUGCUGAGUCAUUACUGGUCAAGGAAAAGCUGAGUUGGCAGAAUGCUGCUGCUGCUGCUGCUGCUGCAGCUCGAUGUACAUGAGGUAGACCUGCCUGUGUUGUGUUGUUUUCUCUUUGAUUCAGUCAGAUGUAUUCGAGUUUUGUUUUUCUUAACACGUCAAAAUCUUUGCUGUUUUUUAUCAGAAACAAAAUGUAUAGAGUGAUGACUCAGUAGAUUGUGAUAAGAGUUGAUGUGAAAAAUGAUGGAAAGUCUGAGUGUUUUGAAAUAAGUUAUUCCCGGCUGAAAUCACAGUGAGGUCCGUCUUGAAAUAUGCAUGCAAUGCAGAAACUUGUCCUAGUUGUUUAACUUUGCUACAGCAGCACUCUCUCCUGAUUUUGUAGAAAUCCUCUAAUUCACCUCAAAUGAGAAAAGGAAUAAGAAUAACUUUAUUUAUCCCCGAAGGGAAAUUCAACUGUCUGUACUUGUCUCAUUUGUCACUUCUCAACAAGUCAUCUACCAUUUAAAGUAUUAAUUUUUAAAGUGAUCUACUAUUUAUUUAUACUAUUUAAUCUACGUUCUGAUGAUUUCAAGCAAAAACAUUUUUAUUACAGGCUUUAACAAAAAUGUUAAUACCGACUAUUUAACACUAUACUCAACAACAUUUCUUCAAAAUGGUAAUAGAUGGGCAUGAUCCAACGAGAUUACUUUUCUGUAGUUUUCAAAUACAGCAUGGACUGGACUACUUCCUGGAAAUAUGACCUCUCUAAGCCUUGCCGUCUCUGCAACAUUGAGACAAAUGUUUUACAAAUGUAUUAAAUGAUUGGACAGACAUAGACUGUAUAUAGAAUGGACACUGUCUUCCUCCUCGCUGGGUGAAGCCACCCCAAGAACAGCACCCUCUGGUGAUGGGCUGCAGUAUAGGUCAUAAAUCCAGCCUCCUCCAGUAAUCUCUAUGGAGCUGUUGACAAACUUAAGAAAUUUAUUACAUUUGUUACAAGUUUUCUCCCCCCUGCUUGAGGUGUUGACAUGUAGUUACCAGUCAGGGUGAACUAAACUGAGAUGGUCCACUCUUUGGAAGAUUGCAUGUUUACGCUACUAACCUGAUGUUGACACAGCAUAGCAACAGGUGGCUAACGGCUAACCAGUUAGUAACUUUAACGCCUUUAUCACCUACAUUUUCAAACUUCCAAUUUCGGGGGUUCUGUCUUGAAAAAACAUUUGAAUUAAAACCAAAUAUGAUUAUCGAGGGUUGAUCAUAUUCUGAAUCCCCAAAAAGAGGACACGACUACGCGAGUCACGGAGUCACGCAUAGUUAAUUUUGAGAGUUUUUAAGGUCUGAUUAAGUGUUUUUCACACGCUCCUAACUCAGUAAGUCCACGUGACACAAACUCAAAACUUCAAUACAAAACCCCGGACAUUUGAAGGAUUUUAUAAACUCCUCGGACAACCCCCCUAAAAGAGGACAUGUCUGGGUAAAAGAGGACGUAUGGUCACCCUAGAUUACCUUACAGUGUAUUACUCAGCAGUCCAAGAACCCUCAUCUUGAUUGUAUUGGUGCAAAGAAUCAUGGGAUAAGUGGGGCUGCAGAGGAUCCAACGCACCUGAUGCAACCUUCAUGUUCUGGGAAAAGUAGGACACAUCUGUCAGACAUAUUUUGAGGAGCCUUAGAAAUGGGGCAGCCUUUGAUGCGCUGCUUCAGUCUUCAGAUGUAGCCUUCGAAGGCUGCAACCCUGAAUUGGGACACAGAUAUAGACGCCAAACCAAGACAGACAGAGUGACUCCAUGUCCUCCUGUGGUGCAAAAGUGAAGCCACAAUACCCCCAUUAAUGGGCGUUGAAGUCUUUUGCAUUUGGUAACAGAAUCUUUUGUUUCUACGGUUCAACCCAUAAACCAUCUGUUUACAUGGAGGAGACAGGUUUUUAGGAUCUGUACAAAAGCCAACCAGUCCAAACUGUUUUGGCUUCACUUUAGGGAGUGUAUAAUGUAGUCCAUCUUUUUAGGUUUUGGUCAGCCAUGUUUCUGAUGGCGCUCAGCAGUCAGGUUGAAGGUUCGGUUUGACAUUUAUCUCAUAAAUGUAAGUCAGUGGAGUAGUGCUGGGCGAUAUGGAAAAAAAUGUAUAUCACGAUAUGGAUCAUUUUAUAUCACGAUAACGAUAUAUAUCACGAUAUAGCUAUGGUAUACUUUCAGUUCUAUGAAAAAUUUAAGUGUAUACAGCUGCACUAGUACAGUACCAGUACAAGACCAGCACUUAAAACUAGAAAAAUGAAUAAAUAAAUACGUGGCUGAAGUGCGUUCAUGUCUGUGCUCACCCAAAGUUAUGCAACACUCACAGAAAACGCCGAUAGUGUGAGCCAAAGCACUCCAUAAUAAUAAUAAUAAUAAAUUUAAUUUGUA